GAGCGUGACGCUAGUUAGGCGUGGUACUCUGCAAAGGUAUUAGAGAUAUUUUAUAUCCUCGCUU
Molecule: transfer RNA, 64 nt
Filed under: Echinoparyphium aconiatum
Lineage: Eukaryota; Metazoa; Platyhelminthes; Trematoda; Plagiorchiida; Echinostomatidae
Description: tRNA-Cys
Source: RNAcentral